Molecule: ribosomal RNA, 497 nt
Filed under: uncultured bacterium
Lineage: Bacteria
Description: partial 16S ribosomal RNA
Rfam family: Bacterial small subunit ribosomal RNA
Source: RNAcentral
AACGAACGCUGGCGGCGUGCCUAAUACAUGCAAGUUGAGCGCUGAAGGUUGGUACUUGUACCAACUGGAUGAGCAGCGAACGGGUGAGUAACGCGUGGGGAAUCUGCCUUUGAGCGGGGGACAACAUUUGGAAACGAAUGCUAAUACCGCAUAAAAACUUUAAACACAAGUUUUAAGUUUGAAAGAUGCAAUUGCAUCACUCAAAGAUGAUCCCGCGUUGUAUUAGCUAGUUGGUGAGGUAAAGGCUCACCAAGGCGAUGAUACAUAGCCGACCUGAGAGGGUGAUCGGCCACAUUGGGACUGAGACACGGCCCAAACGCCUACGGGAGGCAGCAGUAGGGAAUCUUCGGCAAUGGACGAAAGUCUGACCGAGCAACGCCGCGGGAGUGAAGAAGGUUUUCGGAUCGUAAAACUCUGUUGGUAGAGAAGAACGUUGGUGAGAGUGGAAAGCUCAUCAAGUGACGGUAACUACCCAGAAAGGGACGGCUAACUACGUG